This 73-nucleotide transfer RNA is filed under the name Deinagkistrodon acutus (Chinese moccasin). RNAcentral describes it as "tRNA-Leu". It matches the Rfam family "tRNA". From Rfam's summary of the family: Transfer RNA (tRNA) molecules are approximately 80 nucleotides in length. Their secondary structure includes four short double-helical elements and three loops (D, anti-codon, and T loops). Further hydrogen bonds mediate the characteristic L-shaped molecular structure. tRNAs have two regions of fundamental functional importance: the anti-codon, which is responsible for specific mRNA codon recognition, and the 3' end, to which the tRNAs corresponding amino acid is attached (by aminoacyl-tRNA synthetases). tRNAs cope with the degeneracy of the genetic code in two manners: having more than one tRNA (with a specific anti-codon) for a particular amino acid; and 'wobble' base-pairing, i.e. permitting non-standard base-pairing at the 3rd anti-codon position. The record is from RNAcentral. Lineage: Eukaryota; Metazoa; Chordata; Lepidosauria; Squamata; Viperidae.
AUUAAGGUAGCAAAGCAUGGCUAUGCAAAAGGCUUAAAACCUCGACACGGGUGUUCAAAUCACCCCCCUAAUA